GCCAGGUACCAGGUGUGCUCCCCCGCCGACCCGGUGAACCAGGCCGAGCGGAGGCCGAGGAGCAGGCUGCCGCUGCCCAGCAGGUUCACGGCCAGUCGAACCAACGAUGGCAGAGAGUGUUACCCAAUCAGGGCCAAGAUAGGACGAGUCUUUCGGGUGGGAUUAUUUGCACGGGAGAUGCUGCAUUGACGACAACUCGGAAAAUACACGACAAACCCGCUAUUUUAUUCCCAAAUACGGGACGAUUCCGUAUUUUUAGGGACGGGUGGCAACCCUAGGAAAACUUUCAACUUACACCCAGUGUCAUGAAGAAAGGAUGCCAGGAAAACCAACCUGAAAAC
This is a long non-coding RNA of Gasterosteus aculeatus aculeatus (three-spined stickleback), 341 nucleotides long. RefSeq lists it as uncharacterized. Lineage: Eukaryota; Metazoa; Chordata; Actinopteri; Perciformes; Gasterosteidae. The record is from RefSeq and is a predicted model, not a curated record.